GGUGGGAUAGAGUUGCCAUCGAAAAGCGGAAGUCCCCACCCAGCCUGGCAGGAACUUCCGGCUGCGAUUGCUCGGGUCUUCUGUAGCCUGAGUGGGGCCGCGGAGCCGAGAUGGUUCUGCUGGAGAGUGAGCAGUUCCUGACGGAGCUGACCAGGCUCUUCCAGAAGUGCCGGCUGUCGGGCAGCGUGUUCAUCACCCUCAAGAAGUGGUGCGUUUUCCUUGCAGACGAUGGCCGAACUAAACCCAUUCCGAGGAAGGGCUCAGUGGAGGGCUUCGAGCCCUCAGACAACAAGUGUCUGUUAAGAGCAACUGAUGGGAAAAAGAAGAUUAGCACAGUGGUGAGCUCCAAAGAAGUGAAUAAGUUUCAGAUGGUGAGUUUCUGCUGUUAUGUCCCUUUCUCAGGGCAAGCCAGCAUAACAUUGAACACUGGUUCUUUAGAUUACACGAGAUUUACAUCAGUGAUAACAAGCUUGUACCCCAAUACUGCUGACACUGAGCAAAAAAGCCCUGGCCUCUGAGGAAACUACUUUGACAGCAUGGACAGACGCCAUCCUCAAAAGGUUAAAGAAAGUAACUUACAGCCAAAAUUUCAAUUUCACUGCUUUUCUGAUCUCACCUUCGACAGCCUUGGACACUAACGCACCUGAGUCUCAUAUCGCCGCUUAGUGCUGGCUGACAGCUUCUCCGGGGCUAUCACAGUCACAGUGGGGACAACGGCUGCUCCAUGGAUUUCAAACAGACCUGAAACAGAGAGAGCUUCACAAUCAGGCCUUCUCUGGUCCUAUGUUCUCUAACACCGAGAGGACGGAGAAUAUUAAUAGGAUCCCUCUGGGGUGACUCAAUGGAGCCAGAUGAUGUCUGGGCCUUGUUUUCUGUCUCUGCAACUGCCUGCAAUUGCCCAGGGAGAACCCAGAACCUCAACACCCAGCAGUCUGGAGCUUCCGUCAAAACCAACAGCCUUCUCUCCUCAGGUGGGCGUGGGAGUGACAAAAACAAAGGGAGGCGAUAUGAGUCACCCAAACCUCAUGUACCCAUGAAAAAAACAAAACAUUAUCUCUGAGAUUAACAGUCCUUAAAUCUCUCAAAGUAUUUGAAAUCUGAUGGUGACAGAGAGUCAAUGCUAACAGAAAUGAACCAAAAAGAUCCAAUUCUGUUAAAAGCCAAA
Molecule: RNA transcript, 1165 nt
Organism: Myotis lucifugus (little brown bat)
Lineage: Eukaryota; Metazoa; Chordata; Mammalia; Chiroptera; Vespertilionidae
Gene: SRP14
Gene name: signal recognition particle 14
Exons: 6
Source: RefSeq, a predicted model, not a curated record